AUAGCUGGUUUUAGAGGAUGAUCAGCAACACUGGGACUGAGACACGGCCCAGACUCCUACGGGAGGCAGCAGUGGGGAAUCUUAGACAAUGGGCGCAAGCCUGAUCUAGCCAUGCCGCGUGUGUGAUGAAGGUCUUAGGAUCGUAAAGCACUUUCGCCAGGGAUGAUAAUGACAGUACCUGGUAAAGAAACCCCGGCUAACUCCGUGCCAGCAGCCGCGGUAAUACGGAGGGGGUUAGCGUUGUUCGGAAUUACUGGGCGUAAAGCGUACGUAGGCGGAUCAGAAAGUUAGGGGUGAAAUCCCGAGGCUCAACCUCGGAACUGCCUCUAAAACUCCUGGUCUUGAGUUCGAGAGAGGUGAGUGGAAUUCCAAGUGUAGAGGUGAAAUUCGUAGAUAUUUGGAGGAACACCAGUGGCGAAGGCGGCUCACUGGCUCGAUACUGACGCUGAGGUACGAAAGUGUGGGGAGCAAACAGGAUUAGAUACCCUGGUAGUCCACACCGUAAACGAUGAAUGCCAGUCGUCGGGCAGUAUACUGUUCGGUGACACACCUAACGGAUUAAGCAUUCCGCCUGGG
RNAcentral lists this ribosomal RNA (576 nucleotides) under Sulfitobacter litoralis. RNAcentral describes it as "bacterial SSU rRNA". It matches the Rfam family "Bacterial small subunit ribosomal RNA", at positions 283 to 877 of the family's 1533-position model. Lineage: Bacteria; Pseudomonadati; Pseudomonadota; Alphaproteobacteria; Rhodobacterales; Roseobacteraceae. The record is from RNAcentral.